RNAcentral lists this ribosomal RNA (253 nucleotides) under uncultured bacterium. RNAcentral's name for it is "partial 16S ribosomal RNA". It matches the Rfam family "Bacterial small subunit ribosomal RNA", at positions 524 to 776 of the family's 1533-position model. The record is from RNAcentral.
UACGUAGGGGGCUAGCGUUGUCCGGAUUUAUUGGGCGUAAAGAGCGUGUAGGCGGCCAGGUAGGUCUGGUGUGAAAACUCGAGGCUUAACCUCGAGAUGUCAUCGGAAACCAUCUGGCUAGAGUCCGGAAGAGGAGAGUGGAAUUCCUGGUGUAGCGGUGAAAUGCGCAGAUAUCAGGAGGAACACCGGUGGCGAAGGCGGCAUCCUGGACCAACACUGACGCUGAUGAGCGAAAGCCAGGGGAGCAAACGGG